This 86-nucleotide transfer RNA is filed under the name Candidatus Bathyarchaeota archaeon. RNAcentral describes it as "tRNA-Ser". It matches the Rfam family "tRNA". Rfam says of the family: Transfer RNA (tRNA) molecules are approximately 80 nucleotides in length. RNAcentral also lists the same sequence under 2 other names. The record is from RNAcentral. Lineage: Archaea; Thermoproteati; Candidatus Bathyarchaeota.
GCCGGGGUGGCAGAGCGGAAAUGCGCCGGCCUCGAGAGCCGGUGGCUCUUUGAGCCUCAUGGGUUCAAAUCCCAUCCCCGGCGCCA